AUAUCUCAAAUGUGACGCAGGAUUGUCCUAACUGCUUUGAGCCAGACCUUUCUGGUAGAAGGUAUGCCAGGAUUACUGAAUGAGGUUUGCCUGAGCAAGGACAGCAUCUACGAAAAGGACACUCCCUGAUUGUGUGCGGCGCCUGGGGUGGGUGGAACAAGUUUUUCUUCUUGUCCAUGUUGCAAUAUGGGAGGAGAGAGCACAAAUGACAAGGCGGCAGGGACGGAAGUUCCAUAGGUCAAAAGAACAUUGGAGAGGCAAGGCUGCUUUUCUUUCUUCCCUACCAGAGCUGCAUCACGACUGAAGAAUGUCUUCCAUUUUGAAAGUGUUUGGGAGAGACGAGAAGGAAAAGGAAAAAGAAAAGGAAAAGGAAAAAAGCAAGAAAGAGGGUGACAAGAAAGACAAGAAAAAGAAAAAGGAGAAAAAGAAUCCACUUUCAUGUUCCCACAUCACAGCACAGAAGUCCAUGACUGGCACAAAGUGCAUCGACAUGCAUUGAAGUCAAGAUGCUAAUUCGGCCCCAGCAUGAUGGGAAAGAUGAUGACAGCAGCAGCAGCUCAGACAGCGAUUCUGAAAAGGCUCGCAGUGGUGACAAGAAGAAAAAGAAGGAAAAGGAUUAAAUUUGGGGCAGCCAACAACUAGCAGAGGACAUGAGCCGAGUUGCCGAAGAAUGUCUUCAGGGCAUUUGGAAAGGAAGGAAGACGUGUCUGGGUUCAAUGCAUGUAAAACGAAGUGUAUUUGUUUUGUUUUCCAUUAAAACUUAAUACUCUGCUUAAUGCUCCCUUCAUAA
Podarcis muralis (Common wall lizard) is the source of this 790-nucleotide non-coding RNA. The record is from RefSeq and is a predicted model, not a curated record. NCBI's taxonomy places the organism in Eukaryota, Metazoa, Chordata, Lepidosauria, Squamata, Lacertidae.